UACAGAGGUCCCAAGCGUUGUUCGGAUUCACUGGGCGUAAAGGGUGCGUAGGUGGUUGGGUAAGUCUGAUGUGAAAUCUCCGAGCUCAACUCGGAAAUGGCAUUGGAUACUAUUCGGCUAGAGGGUUGGAGGGGGGACUGGAAUUCUCGGUGUAGCAGUGAAAUGCGUAGAUAUCGAGAGGAACACCAGUGGCGAAGGCGAGUCCCUGGACAACUCCUGACACUGAGGCACGAAAGCUAGGGGAGCAAACAG
Molecule: ribosomal RNA, 252 nt
Filed under: uncultured bacterium
Lineage: Bacteria
Description: partial 16S ribosomal RNA
Rfam family: Bacterial small subunit ribosomal RNA
Source: RNAcentral